This 439-nucleotide ribosomal RNA is filed under the name Macaca arctoides (stump-tailed macaque). RNAcentral's name for it is "partial 12S ribosomal RNA". It matches the Rfam family "Bacterial small subunit ribosomal RNA", at positions 508 to 1191 of the family's 1533-position model. Lineage: Eukaryota; Metazoa; Chordata; Mammalia; Primates; Cercopithecidae. The record is from RNAcentral.
CCAGCCACCGCGGUUACACGAUUAACCCUAGCUAAUAGAGAUCGGCGUAAAGGGUGUUUAAGAUCUAACAUAAUAAAGCUAAACCCCAUCUAAACUGUAAAACUCUAGCCAACGUAAAAUAAACUACGAAAGUGGCUUUAAAGCUUCUGAACACACAAUAGCCAAGACCCAAACUGGGAUUAGACACCCUACUAUGCUUGGCCCUAAACCUCAGUAGUUAGAUAACAAAACUACUCGCCAGAAUACUACAAGCAACAGCUUGAAACUCAAAGGACUUGACGGUGCUUUACAUCCCCCUAGAGGAGCCUGUUCUAUAAUCGAUAAACCCCGAUCCACCCCACCCUCUCUUGCUCAGCCUAUAUACCGCCAUCUUCAGCAAACCCUAAUGAAGGUCACAAAGUGAGCGCAAACGCCGCCGCCGCCGCGAAUACGUUAGGUC